Mesocricetus auratus (golden hamster) is the source of this 2899-nucleotide long non-coding RNA. RefSeq lists it as uncharacterized. The transcript is spliced from 2 exons. Lineage: Eukaryota; Metazoa; Chordata; Mammalia; Rodentia; Cricetidae. The record is from RefSeq and is a predicted model, not a curated record.
GCUCCGUCCUUCAGGCCUAUCUCAAACUUGCACCUGACACUUCCUCUCUUUUUGUUCCUUGUAGGGGGAUACCGGGACCUCCGGGUCAAAUUCUUUCUUCCUCUCUCUUUUAGUUUUUCCAAAUGCUCCCCAUUUGCUGUUGGCUAAAUACAUAUUUUAAGCACAUAUUGCAAACUUUAAGACAUUAGCCUUGACACAACUAGGGAGAAAAUACACGCAAUUCCCUUACUCAACAACACAGGGUAAUGAAGUCCUAAAAGCCAAAUAUACACACCAGACAGGGAAUGGUUAAGGAACACAGUGGGCGGGGUGUUCCCCUGGGGCUAGGGGCAAGCAGCUGGGCUGGAGCAGCUACUCCCGAAGGAGCUUCCGGCUGGAGACAGCAAAAUGAAAGGUUAGCAGUUAGGAGCGUGCAGCCUACAGCUUCUGUCUCAAAUCCACCGUGUGAAACCCAAGGGUCAGAGCAUGCCCCAGCUGGAAGAUUCAGGACUAUGCCCUGGGGUGCCCACCUCCGAGGAACCACUUGGCCUGUCUCAGUCAGCUGAUGCAAUCGAUGGUCAAGGACCUCUCAGGACCACAGAAGGGACAGUGUGAUAACGAUCCUGUUACAGAGGCAGGAGUCCAUGAUCCCUAAUCCUCAGCUCUAGUCUUUUUGUCUGCAGAUCUCAUUCAAGGUGGUUGUGAGCCACCAUGUGGUUGCCGGGAAUUGAACUCAUGACCUCUGGAAGAACAGUCAGUCCUCCUAACCGCUGAGCCAUCUCUCCAGCCCUCUCUGGUUCCUUUUCUUACCCCAGGUGGGUGCCCCUUGAGGCCACUUCACCCCCUCCGCCAUCGCCUCCUAGUCUCAAGCCCAACACCGACGCGUAAAUCCCCUCCUGUGUGCACCUCGCAUUUCAAACGCAGAGGACCCACGUCCUGGUUUUGUCUGACAGAGGGCGGGGCUUAUCUCAGCUCACAGUUCCAGGUUGCACGGGCUAUGGAUGAGGGGUUGCCGUGACAACGGGGACACCCCCCCCCCCCAGCAGCUGGCUCUUCACCACAUCCACAGUCAAGAGCAGAGAGAGAAACCAACACUUGCACACUCGCUGCCUGGCUUCAUUCUGCCACCAGCGUCUAACAAUCCUCAACCCAUACCCCUGGAAUCAGCCGCCGGUUUUAGGCCGGAUCUUUGCGCACCAGCGAACACAUCUGAGAGCAAACUGCGCUGCGCAAUCCCUCGCUGAGUCUCCCGAGUGAGCCUCGGCUGUGUCCCACGGGACGGUGGAAACGAACCAGCGCAGAGCACACAAGAGAAAACGUGAUAGUCGGCUCCCUGUCAGCUCAGGGUCAGCAUGGAACUCAAAGGGGCCUUUCAUAAAGCCAACAAUUACCAACGUCUACUUCGUAAACUCGUUAGUCUUUGCAACUAACCCGCAUAGCGCUCCCGAUUACAGUGAAAAAAUCUGCCCACUUAGUGACCGAUCCACGCUGUUUAAAACAUUCAGCUUCCCGGAAUCUCUUGUGCCUCCCAGGCUAGACCACAGACAAGCUUGGCUUCCCUAGGAGCCUCAAGUUAGCAACAAGAGACUUAACUCACCCUGCUGCCUUGGAUUAUUGAAUACCCAACAAGUAUUCCUUUUGCUUCAAGGAUGUCUUAAGUAAGAACUGACCAUGAAAUCUUGGCAGAAAUUCUCCGCCACUCUGCCAACGCCCUUCCUGGGGCCCCAGGUAGGCGCCCCCUCUGCCUUUCCGGCACCCUCUCCGUCCCCCGCCUCCCUUGAGACCUGCCCAUCCCCUCCAUCGUCCCCUCCCGAGUUUUACGACCAGCACCGACACACACUGAGAGUUGGCAGAGAGCACAGAUAACUGUCUUCUACGUCUCCACCCCACAGGAGCGAGAAUCGUAGCAUGUGCACACCGUUGGGACAACUUUGAGAACUACACCCCCGCGCUCGCCCAGCGAGCUGAUCACAAACAUCUCUACUGGGUAUCAUUUGAGUGGAACAAAGGGCAGGGUGUGGGUGGUGCACACCUUCAAUCCUAGCACCCAGGAGACAGAGGCAGGUAGAUUUUUGUGAACCAGCCUGGUGUUCAUAGUGAGUUCCAGGACAGCCUGAGCUGCACGGUGAGUUCCAGGAUAGCCCUGGGCUGCGCAGUGAGACCCUGUCUCAAAAACAAACAAACAAACAAACAAAAAAGCAAAUUAUAAAGAGGAGCAAAGCAUCAGGCAAAGGACGAGCUUCUUGUUUUGAAAUCGCACCGAGUUCAGGGAGCCGUGGUGGGGAACCCCCAGGCCCAGCUCGCCAAGGCAGACGCAGGAGAGUUGGAGGACUUCAUUGUUUCCUAAAACUUAGCUUCCUCGAGAAACUCGAAGAGACCCCGCCUCAAAAGCCAAGGGCAGGGGUAUGGAGCACUUAUCUGGGAUGUGAGGGGCCCUGGCCCGAGUCCUGAAUCCAAGCUAGCAAGCACCACAGGCAACCCAGUCCUUGAUCCUGCCGUGAGCACCCUUCCCUGUGAUACCUAUGCUUGUCUUCUCUGGCAGAGGACUUACACAGAUGUAAAAUCCCCAAGUGUCUAUAGGAAUGAAUUCAAUAUUCUACACAAUGACAGUACUUUUAAAGAAAAUACGUUUGAGAGUCCUGGGAGACGGAUCUACCCCAAAUGUCGGCCGGCUGCACGCCUUACUUCACUCGACUUUCUCUGCAGCUGAAGUACCUCUGAAUCGAUCAGACUUUGAUGCUGUUAGGAAGACUUCGUAUUCAAGGGCAACUGUUUGGUUGCUUCACUGAAGAACCUUUGGCUUUUGCCUCCAGCUUUAUUGAGGCUUGCCUGACAAAAGCUCUGCCUAUUUAAGACGUAUCCAUUUGAUAGAUGCUGUGACAGGGCUACCAAAUAAAGCCAAGUAUGUGGUGAUAUAUUA